GCUUACGGCCAUACCACUCUGAAAAAAAGCCUGAUCUCAUCUGACCUCGGAAGCAAAGCAGAGCUGGGCCUGUUUAGUACUUGGUUGGGAGACUGACAUGGAUACUAGGUGCUGUAAGCU
This is a ribosomal RNA of Ictalurus punctatus (channel catfish), 120 nucleotides long. NCBI's taxonomy places the organism in Eukaryota, Metazoa, Chordata, Actinopteri, Siluriformes, Ictaluridae. The record is from Ensembl.